CAGUAGCCGCGGUAAUACGGAGGAUCCAAGCGUUAUCCGGAUUUAUUGGGUUUAAAGGGUGCGUAGGUGGCCUGUUAAGUCAGGGGUGAAAGACGGUAGCUUAACUAUCGCAGUGCCCUUGAUACUGAUGGGCUUGAAUGAACUAGAGGUAGGCGGAGUGUGACAAGUAGCGGUGAAAUGCAUAGAUAUGUCACAGAACACCAAUUGCGAAGGCAGCUUACUAUGGUUUUAUUGACACUGAGGCACGAAAGCGUGGGGAUCAAACAGGAUUAGAUACCCGAGUAGUCCCUGUCUUUAUACA
This 301-nucleotide ribosomal RNA is filed under the name uncultured bacterium. RNAcentral's name for it is "partial 16S ribosomal RNA". It matches the Rfam family "Bacterial small subunit ribosomal RNA", at positions 509 to 809 of the family's 1533-position model. The record is from RNAcentral.